UAAUACGAAGGGGGCUAGCGUUGUUCGGAUUUACUGGGCGUAAAGCGUACGUAGGUGGUCUUGCAAGUCAGUGGUGAAAUCCCGGAGCUUAACUCCGGAACUGCCAUUGAAACUGCGAGGCUGGAAUCUCAGAGGGGGUGGCGGAAUUGCUAAUGUAGGGGUGAAAUCCGUAGAUAUUAGCAGGAACACCGAUGGCGAAGGCAGCCACCUGGAUGAGUAUUGACACUGAGGUACGAAAGCGUGGGGAUCAAACAGG
This 256-nucleotide ribosomal RNA is filed under the name uncultured bacterium. Its description in RNAcentral is "partial 16S ribosomal RNA". It matches the Rfam family "Bacterial small subunit ribosomal RNA", at positions 521 to 776 of the family's 1533-position model. The record is from RNAcentral.